AGGGUGUAAACGCUGCAGACUUGGUGUUGGAGGCCCUUUGGGGGCAUUCAGUGCCGGAGAGAAGUUAUUAAGUCUGCUACUUGGGGAGUACGUCCGCAAGGAUGAAACUUAAAGGAAUUGGCGGGGGAGGCACCGCAACGGGAGGAGCGUGCGGUUUAAUUGGAUUCAACACCGUAAAACUCACCAGGGAAGACUGUUACAUGAAGGCCGAGAUGAAGACUCUGCUAGAUUUUCAGAGAGGAGGUGCAUGGCGUCAGUGACU
RNAcentral lists this ribosomal RNA (262 nucleotides) under uncultured archaeon. Its description in RNAcentral is "partial 16S ribosomal RNA". It matches the Rfam family "Archaeal small subunit ribosomal RNA", at positions 748 to 1008 of the family's 1478-position model. The record is from RNAcentral.